Molecule: ribosomal RNA, 631 nt
Filed under: Microbacterium sp.
Lineage: Bacteria; Bacillati; Actinomycetota; Actinomycetes; Micrococcales; Microbacteriaceae
Description: bacterial SSU rRNA
Rfam family: Bacterial small subunit ribosomal RNA
Source: RNAcentral
AACGGGUGAGUAACACGUGAGCAACCUGCCCCUGACUCUGGGAUAAGCGCUGGAAACGGCGUCUAAUACUGGAUACGAACAAGAAUCGCAUGGUUACUUGUUGGAAAGAUUUUUCGGUUGGGGAUGGGCUCGCGGCCUAUCAGCUUGUUGGUGAGGUAAUGGCUCACCAAGGCGUCGACGGGUAGCCGGCCUGAGAGGGUGACCGGCCACACUGGGACUGAGACACGGCCCAGACUCCUACGGGAGGCAGCAGUGGGGAAUAUUGCACAAUGGGCGCAAGCCUGAUGCAGCAACGCCGCGUGAGGGAUGACGGCCUUCGGGUUGUAAACCUCUUUUAGCAGGGAAGAAGCGAGAGUGACGGUACCUGCAGAAAAAGCACCGGCUAACUACGUGCCAGCAGCCGCGGUAAUACGUAGGGUGCAAGCGUUAUCCGGAAUUAUUGGGCGUAAAGAGCUCGUAGGCGGUUUGUCGCGUCUGCUGUGAAAUCUGGGGGCUCAACCCCCAGCCUGCAGUGGGUACGGGCAGACUAGAGUGCGGUAGGGGAGAUUGGAAUUCCUGGUGUAGCGGUGGAAUGCGCAGAUAUCAGGAGGAACACCGAUGGCGAAGGCAGAUCUCUGGGCCGUAACUGACG